This 1045-nucleotide ribosomal RNA is filed under the name Salmonella enterica subsp. enterica serovar Typhimurium str. SL1344. RNAcentral describes it as "bacterial SSU rRNA". It matches the Rfam family "Bacterial small subunit ribosomal RNA", at positions 68 to 1102 of the family's 1533-position model. Lineage: Bacteria; Pseudomonadati; Pseudomonadota; Gammaproteobacteria; Enterobacterales; Enterobacteriaceae. The record is from RNAcentral.
GGUAACAGGAAGCAGCUUGCUGCUUUGCUGACGAGUGGCGGACGGGUGAGUAAUGUCUGGGAAACUGCCUGAUGGAGGGGGAUAACUACUGGAAACGGUGGCUAAUACCGCAUAACGUCGCAAGACCAAAGAGGGGGACCUUCGGGCCUCUUGCCAUCAGAUGUGCCCAGAUGGGAUUAGCUUGUUGGUGAGGUAACGGCUCACCAAGGCGACGAUCCCUAGCUGGUCUGAGAGGAUGACCAGCCACACUGGAACUGAGACACGGUCCAGACUCCUACGGGAGGCAGCAGUGGGGAAUAUUGCACAAUGGGCGCAAGCCUGAUGCAGCCAUGCCGCGUGUAUGAAGAAGGCCUUCGGGUUGUAAAGUACUUUCAGCGGGGAGGAAGGUGUUGUGGUUAAUAACCGCAGCAAUUGACGUUACCCGCAGAAGAAGCACCGGCUAACUCCGUGCCAGCAGCCGCGGUAAUACGGAGGGUGCAAGCGUUAAUCGGAAUUACUGGGCGUAAAGCGCACGCAGGCGGUCUGUCAAGUCGGAUGUGAAAUCCCCGGGCUCAACCUGGGAACUGCAUUCGAAACUGGCAGGCUUGAGUCUUGUAGAGGGGGGUAGAAUUCCAGGUGUAGCGGUGAAAUGCGUAGAGAUCUGGAGGAAUACCGGUGGCGAAGGCGGCCCCCUGGACAAAGACUGACGCUCAGGUGCGAAAGCGUGGGGAGCAAACAGGAUUAGAUACCCUGGUAGUCCACGCCGUAAACGAUGUCUACUUGGAGGUUGUGCCCUUGAGGCGUGGCUUCCGGAGCUAACGCGUUAAGUAGACCGCCUGGGGAGUACGGCCGCAAGGUUAAAACUCAAAUGAAUUGACGGGGGCCCGCACAAGCGGUGGAGCAUGUGGUUUAAUUCGAUGCAACGCGAAGAACCUUACCUGGUCUUGACAUCCACAGAAGAAUCCAGAGAUGGAUUUGUGCCUUCGGGAACUGUGAGACAGGUGCUGCAUGGCUGUCGUCAGCUCGUGUUGUGAAAUGUUGGGUUAAGUCCCGCAACGAGCGCAAC